AAUGAACGUUGGCGGCGUGGAUUAGGCAUGCAAGUCGGACGGCCGGGGGGCAACUCCCGGUCGUGGCGUAAGGGUGAGCAAGACGACGGCAACCAACCCCGAGGUCGGGCAUAGCCGCCCGAAAGGGCGGGUAAUUCCCGGCGGUCUGGCGGGCCGGCCUCGGCCUGUCAGUAAAGGUGUGAUUCCGCCUCGGGACGGGCCGUCGUGGUAUCAGGUUGUUGGUGGGGUCACGGCCCACCAAGCCGAGGACGCCUACCGGGCGUGCGAGCGUGGCCCGGCACACUGGGACUGAGACACUGCCCAGACACCUACGGGUGGCUGCAGUCGAGAAUCUUCGGCAAUGGGCGCAAGCCUGACCGAGCGACGCCGCGUGGAGGAUGAAGGCCCUCGGGUUGUAAACUCCUGUCGAGGGGGACCAAGGGCGGGUGCAGAGCCCGCCGUGAGGGAACCCUGGAGGAAGCACGGGCUAAGUUCGUGCCAGCAGCCGCAGUAAAAC
Molecule: ribosomal RNA, 496 nt
Filed under: uncultured bacterium
Lineage: Bacteria
Description: bacterial SSU rRNA
Rfam family: Bacterial small subunit ribosomal RNA
Source: RNAcentral